AGUGAACGCUGGCGGUAGGCCUAACACAUGCAAGUCGAACGGCAGCACAGUAAAAGCUUGCUCUUACGGGUGGCGAGUGGCGGACGGGUGAGGAAUACAUCGGAAUCUACUUUUUCGUGGGGGAUAACGUAGGGAAACUUACGCUAAUACCUCAUACGACUUACGGGUGAAAGCAGGGGAUCUUCGUACCUUGCGCGAUUGAAUGAGCCGAUGUCGGAUUAGUUAGUUGGCGGGGUAAAGGCCCACCAAGGCGACGAUCCGUAGCUGGUCUGAGAGGAUGAUCAGCCACACUGGAACUGAGACACGGUCCAGCCUCCUACGGGGGGCAGAGGUGGGGAAUAUUGGACAAUGGGCGCAAGCCUGAUCCAGCCAUCCCGCGUGGGUGAGGAAGGCCUUCGGGUUGUAAAGCCUGUUUGUUGGGAAAGAAAAGCAGCAGGUUAAUACCCCGCUGUUCUGACGGUACCCAACGAGUAAGCACCGGCUAACUUCGUG
RNAcentral lists this ribosomal RNA (492 nucleotides) under uncultured bacterium. Its description in RNAcentral is "partial 16S ribosomal RNA". It matches the Rfam family "Bacterial small subunit ribosomal RNA", at positions 29 to 507 of the family's 1533-position model. The record is from RNAcentral.